Molecule: ribosomal RNA, 305 nt
Filed under: uncultured bacterium
Lineage: Bacteria
Description: bacterial SSU rRNA
Rfam family: Bacterial small subunit ribosomal RNA
Source: RNAcentral
AUCCCUACGGGGCGCAGCAGUGGGGGAUAUUGCACAAUGGGGGGAACCCUGAUGCAGCGACGCCGCGUGGGUGAAGGAGCGUUUCGGCGCGUAAAGCCCUAUCGGCAGGGAAGAAGGAGGACGGUACCUGACUAAGAAGCCCCGGCUAACUACGUGCCAGCAGCCGCGGUAAUACGUAGGGGGCAAGUGUUAUCCGGAUUUACUGGGUGUAAAGGGAGCGUAGGUGGCAUGGUAAGCCAGAAGUGAAAACCCAGGGCUCAACUCUGUGGAUUGCUUUUGGAACUAUCAAGCUAGAGUGCUGGAGG